GUGCUCAGCAGCAGCACAUCCACUAAAACAGAACAGAGAAGGUUAGCAUGGACCCUACCAAAGAUAACAUGCAAAUCCAUGAAAUGUUCCAUAUUUAA
This 98-nucleotide small nuclear RNA is filed under the name Neotoma lepida (desert woodrat). The record is from RNAcentral. Lineage: Eukaryota; Metazoa; Chordata; Mammalia; Rodentia; Cricetidae.